RNAcentral lists this transfer RNA (75 nucleotides) under Candidatus Woesearchaeota archaeon. RNAcentral describes it as "tRNA-Arg". It matches the Rfam family "tRNA". Rfam says of the family: Transfer RNA (tRNA) molecules are approximately 80 nucleotides in length. Their secondary structure includes four short double-helical elements and three loops (D, anti-codon, and T loops). Lineage: Archaea; Nanobdellati; Candidatus Woesearchaeota. The record is from RNAcentral.
GGGCCAGUAGCUCAGCUUGGACAGAGCGACAGCCUUCUAAGCUGUAGGUCGUGGGUUCGAAUCCCCCCUGGCCCG